RNAcentral lists this ribosomal RNA (253 nucleotides) under uncultured bacterium. RNAcentral describes it as "partial 16S ribosomal RNA". It matches the Rfam family "Bacterial small subunit ribosomal RNA", at positions 524 to 776 of the family's 1533-position model. The record is from RNAcentral.
UACGUAGGGGGCAAGCGUUGUCCGGAUUUAUUGGGCGUAAAGAGCGUAUAGGCGGCUAUGCAGGUCCGCUGUGAAAACUCGAGGCUCAACCUCGAGACGUCGGUGGAAACCGCAUGGCUAGAGUCCGGAAGAGGAGAGUGGAAUUCCCGGUGUAGCGGUGAAAUGCGCAGAUAUCGGGAAGAACACCCGUGGCGAAGGCGGCUCUCUGGGACGGUACUGACGCUGAGACGCGAAAGCGUGGGGAGCGAACAGG